This 222-nucleotide unclassified non-coding RNA is filed under the name Sclerotinia sp. RNAcentral's name for it is "partial contains small subunit ribosomal RNA, internal transcribed spacer 1, and 5.8S ribosomal RNA". The stretch from base 1 to 46 matches the Rfam family "Eukaryotic small subunit ribosomal RNA", at positions 1786 to 1831 of the family's 1831-position model. The record is from RNAcentral. Lineage: Eukaryota; Fungi; Ascomycota; Leotiomycetes; Helotiales; Sclerotiniaceae.
AAGUCGUAACAAGGUUUCCGUAGGUGAACCUGCGGAAGGAUCAUUACAGAGUUCAUGCCCGAAAGGGUAGACCUCCCACCCUUGUGUAUUUAUACUUUGUUGCUUUGGCGAGCUGCCUUUGGGCCUAAGAGUCUCGCCGAGGGAUAUCAAAACUCUUUUUAUUAAUGUCGUCUGAGUACUAUAUAAUAGUUAAAACUUUCAACAACGGAUCUCUUGGUUCUG